CUCCUUUUUCUAAUCAGUGAACUAAUCUUCCCGUGAAGAAGCGGGAAUAUCCCCAUAAGACGAGAAGACCCCAUGGAGCUUCAAACCCAAUUACACCCCUAACCCCUAUAACUACUUAACCCUUAGGAUUCUGUAUUAUUGGUUUUAGGUUGGGGCGACCACGGAGUACAACAAAACCUCCACAAUGAACGGAACUACUUCCUCAUCUGAGAGCUACACCUCUAAGAAUUAAAAUAUUAACAUAAAAUGAUCCAUUUUUGAUCAAUGAACCAAGUUACCCUGGGGAUAACAGCGCAAUCCAUUUCAAGAGCCCCUAUCGACAAAUGGG
RNAcentral lists this ribosomal RNA (328 nucleotides) under Mantidactylus katae. Its description in RNAcentral is "partial 16S ribosomal RNA". It matches the Rfam family "Bacterial large subunit ribosomal RNA", at positions 2020 to 2516 of the family's 2925-position model. The record is from RNAcentral. Lineage: Eukaryota; Metazoa; Chordata; Amphibia; Anura; Mantellidae.